Molecule: long non-coding RNA, 432 nt
Filed under: Mytilus galloprovincialis (Mediterranean mussel)
Lineage: Eukaryota; Metazoa; Mollusca; Bivalvia; Mytilida; Mytilidae
Source: RNAcentral
CUCCAGGCUUGGCGCUCAUGUGGUUCUGUUGGGCCUGAGUAUAUAUUUCACAUUGAUUGAAAUUAAAGUUCAUAUCUAAACUGUAUACAAUAAAAAUAAUCAACCAAUAGUUGAAAAGAAAUUAUACAGAUUUAAACAAAACUUAAAUAAAUUGUGACUUGGAUGGAGAGUUGUCUCAUUGACAACUCAUACCACCUCUAAUUAAGCACAAAUAUAUUACUAAACUGAAAUGCAAUUUAAUGUGAAGUAUAUGCUUAGUACAGUAGUUUCACAUUGGUGCAUCUACGAAUUCUGCAGUGUCCAGUGCUAUUUCCUUAGACUAUUGCCUUACACCUAACAAAGUUAGAUGACAAACAGUCAAUAGUCUUCUGAAAUUUGUACUGCUUCAGUGCUUAGUUCGUAGGUAAUGAGCAGGUGGUUAAAGAUCUCUGU